Papaver somniferum (opium poppy) is the source of this 1186-nucleotide long non-coding RNA. RefSeq lists it as uncharacterized. The record is from RefSeq and is a predicted model, not a curated record. Lineage: Eukaryota; Viridiplantae; Streptophyta; Magnoliopsida; Ranunculales; Papaveraceae. The transcript has 2 exons.
AAAAGUAAAAACCUUAUACCUUCCAUUUUCUCUCUCUUCUCUGCAAAAGUAUUCUGUUCUAUUUCAGAUUCAAAAAUAAAAAAUCUGAAUAUACUUAGUCAACUAAUCAAUUCUCUUCAACCAACUAAUUAAAACCUUUAUUACCUUCAGAAACAACAUUAAUCGACAAACACAUAAUCAAUUUCAUCAAAACAAUCAACAAUAAACUUUGGUACUCACCAGAAAAUUUUCACAAAAAUCCUAAAAAUGGUGAAAUCAAAGAUGAAUUCACAAUCAAGAGCAGAUUAAAACAAGCAGGUAGUUGUAGUUCAAGAGGAAUCGAAUGUUCAAGAAGAAUGUGAACAAGAGAUUGAAGGAGGAUGUAGAGAACAAGAAAACGAAAAAGAUUUGAGAUAAAAAUUGGUGAAGAGAUGAUCUGUUGCUGCAAAAAUAGGUGAUUUAGGGUUCUGUCAAUUAGAGAAGAAGGUUUGGAUCGUGUUUCGGGUGGUGAUUAUAUGGCGAUGGGAUGGAGAAGGUGCUAAAUCAGGUUGUUGUGGUUGAAAAUCAAGAAUUAGGGUUCUCUGAUAUUGGAGAAAUUAGUGUUUGAGAAGGAAGAGAUUCAUGAAAUUGAAGAUGGGUUUUACUUGAUUUGAGUUUUAGCCCCAAUAUUUGUUAGAGAUUGAGAUGAUUUUACUGAAGCUGAUGUUGCUGAUGAAAUUGGAGUUAGGGUUCAUAGAUUUGUGUUAAAUGAAUAAAAAGGGGUGUUGGUAUGUAAAAAAUAUUUAAUGGCCGCAAGUUGGAAGAAUUUGAAGUUGAAACAUAGAGGAGAUAUGAGUUUUGAAUGGAGGAAGAAAUGAUGAUUGCAAAGACGGCUGUAGAGUUGGAGAUGGAUCUGUAAUGCUGAGAAAAGACGGGUGUUAUUGAUGUCAAAGAAUAUAGUGGUGACAAGGAAAUGGUAUGUGUUGGUUAUUGAAGCAGCAAAUGGUUGUAGAUGGUGGCAUGGUUGUUGCUGUUGCCAUUGAGAUGAACUGAUGAUAUUUUCUUGAGAAUGAUUGAGAUGAUAUGGAUGGCAAGGUCGCCUGCAUAGACUAAUAUGGAUUUUUUUUCUUCUAUAUAUGCACGACCAUAAAUUUACCAUUUUUGUGAUUGCAAUGACAAGGUAAAAAUUUGUCUCUGUUAAUGGAAUGGAACUGCAAGGGCGGAACUA